This 442-nucleotide ribosomal RNA is filed under the name soil bacterium 7V-01. RNAcentral's name for it is "bacterial SSU rRNA". It matches the Rfam family "Bacterial small subunit ribosomal RNA", at positions 27 to 457 of the family's 1533-position model. The record is from RNAcentral.
GGAUGAACGCUGGCGGCGUGCCUAAUACAUGCAAGUCGAGCGAACUGAUUAGAAGCUUGCUUCUAUGACGUNAGCGGCGGACGGGUGAGUAACACGUGGGCAACCUGCCUGUAAGACUGGGAUAACUUCGGGAAACCGAAGCUAAUACCGGAUAGGAUCUUNUCCUUCAUGGGAGAUGAUUGAAAGAUGGUUUCGGCUAUCACUUACAGAUGGGCCCGCGGUGCAUUAGCUAGUUGGUGAGGUAACGGCUCACCAAGGCAACGAUGCAUAGCCGACCUGAGAGGGUGAUCGGCCACACUGGGACUGAGACACGGCCCAGACUCCUACGGGAGGCAGCAGUAGGGAAUCUUCCGCAAUGGACGAAAGUCUGACGGAGCNACGCCGCGUGAGUGAUGAAGGCUUUCGGGUCGUAAAACUCUGUUGUUAGGNAAGNAACAAGUAC